GAGAACUUUGAAGGCC
This 16-nucleotide microRNA is filed under the name Callorhinchus milii (elephant shark). Its description in RNAcentral is "eshark_mir-716_2". The record is from RNAcentral. Lineage: Eukaryota; Metazoa; Chordata; Chondrichthyes; Chimaeriformes; Callorhinchidae.